RNAcentral lists this ribosomal RNA (914 nucleotides) under Enterococcus casseliflavus. Its description in RNAcentral is "bacterial SSU rRNA". It matches the Rfam family "Bacterial small subunit ribosomal RNA", at positions 55 to 941 of the family's 1533-position model. The record is from RNAcentral. Lineage: Bacteria; Bacillati; Bacillota; Bacilli; Lactobacillales; Enterococcaceae.
AUGCAGUCGAACGCUUUUUCUUUCACCGGAGCUUGCUCCACCGAAAGAAAAAGAGUGGCGAACGGGUGAGUAACACGUGGGUAACCUGCCCAUCAGAAGGGGAUAACACUUGGAAACAGGUGCUAAUACCGUAUAACACUAUUUUCCGCAUGGAAGAAAGUUGAAAGGCGCUUUUGCGUCACUGAUGGAUGGACCCGCGGUGCAUUAGCUAGUUGGUGAGGUAACGGCUCACCAAGGCAACGAUGCAUAGCCGACCUGAGAGGGUGAUCGGCCACACUGGGACUGAGACACGGCCCAGACUCCUACGGGAGGCAGCAGUAGGGAAUCUUCGGCAAUGGACGAAAGUCUGACCGAGCAACGCCGCGUGAGUGAAGAAGGUUUUCGGAUCGUAAAACUCUGUUGUUAGAGAAGAACAAGGAUGAGAGUAAAACGUUCAUCCCUUGACGGUAUCUAACCAGAAAGCCACGGCUAACUACGUGCCAGCAGCCGCGGUAAUACGUAGGUGGCAAGCGUUGUCCGGAUUUAUUGGGCGUAAAGCGAGCGCAGGCGGUUUCUUAAGUCUGAUGUGAAAGCCCCCGGCUCAACCGGGGAGGGUCAUUGGAAACUGGGAGACUUGAGUGCAGAAGAGGAGAGUGGAAUUCCAUGUGUAGCGGUGAAAUGCGUAGAUAUAUGGAGGAACACCAGUGGCGAAGGCGGCUCUCUGGUCUGUAACUGACGCUGAGGCUCGAAAGCGUGGGGAGCGAACAGGAUUAGAUACCCUGGUAGUCCACGCCGUAAACGAUGAGUGCUAAGUGUUGGAGGGUUUCCGCCCUUCAGUGCUGCAGCAAACGCAUUAAGCACUCCGCCUGGGGAGUACGACCGCAAGGUUGAAACUCAAAGGAAUUGACGGGGGCCCGCACAAGCGGUGGAGCAUG